Molecule: ribosomal RNA, 467 nt
Filed under: uncultured bacterium
Lineage: Bacteria
Description: partial 16S ribosomal RNA
Rfam family: Bacterial small subunit ribosomal RNA
Source: RNAcentral
GACGAACGCUGGCGGCGUGCUUAACACAUGCAAGUCGAACGGAAAGGCUCCAGCUUGCUGGAGUACUCGAGUGGCGAACGGGUGAGUAACACGUGGGUAAUCUGCCCUGCACUCUGGGAUAAGCCUGGGAAACUGGGUCUAAUACUGGAUAUGACCUUUCUCCUUAUGGGGUUUGGUGGAAAGUUUUUCGGUGUAGGAUGAGCCCGCGGCCUAUCAGCGUGUUGGUGGGGUGAUGGCCUACCAAGGCGACGACGGGUAGCCGGCCUGAGAGGGUGAUCGGCCACAUUGGGACUGAGAUACGGCCCAGACUCCUACGGGAGGCAGCAGUGGGGAAUAUUGCACAAUGGGCGGAAGCCUGAUGCAGCGACGCCGCGUGAGGGAUGACGGCCUUCGGGUUGUAAACCUCUUUCAGCAGGGACGAAGCGUAAGUGACGGUACCUGCAGAAGAAGCACCGGCUAACUAUGUG